Anoplopoma fimbria (sablefish) is the source of this 7902-nucleotide RNA transcript. It is a transcript of the gene named latent-transforming growth factor beta-binding protein 1-like, with no coding region annotated. Lineage: Eukaryota; Metazoa; Chordata; Actinopteri; Perciformes; Anoplopomatidae. The record is from RefSeq and is a predicted model, not a curated record. The transcript has 38 exons.
GGAGGAGGUGAAGACACAGUCGCUGAGUCUGAGGGAGGCCCAGGCCGUGCUGCUGAGGAAGACUCUGUCCCGGGGAGGAAGAGGAGACAAGAUGGCCGCCCUGCUGAUGAAGCACAUCGAGAAGGAGAAGAAGAAAUUCCUGACUGUGACCUCCUCUCCUGACUCCUCAUCUUCAUCUUCAUCUUCAUCAUCGUCCUCAGGAGAAACCAGCGUGAAGACUUUCUACUCUCAGAAGGGACAGUACACCGUCUACGUCACCGCUCCAUCAGCUGAUGGACAGACGGUCUCUGGACGCGUGGAGAGGGUCCAGGUGAUGUUCACGCCCACCGUCUGCAAGGUGCGCUGCAGCCAGGAGCGAUGUGUCAACUUCUGCGAGCGAGGCAACGUGACCACGCUGUACAGCGGCAGCGAGGGGGGGGGAGGAGGAGGAGGAGGAGGAGGAAGGAGAGACAGCUCCCACGGACCGGGCUUCAGAGUCUUCCUCUGUCCUCUGCUCUGUAAGAACGGAGGCGUCUGCCUGCAGAAGGACCGCUGUCUCUGCCCGCACAACUUCAGCGGCAAGUUCUGCCAGAUCCCCGUCGCUACGCCCUCCUCCUCCUCCACCUCCUCCUCCUCCUCCACCUCCACCAAUGAGAUCGUCAAACCCGCGUUGCUCCACAUCAUGGCAGCCAAUCAGGAGCUGACACGUUCUGAGUUCCUCCUGCCGCUGGGACACCACCAGGAGAUGGGGAUGUCUGGAGCUCCUGGCCUGUCCAUGGUAAAGGUCAGAGUUCAGCACCCCCUGAGGCCAGCGUGAACAUCCACCAGGUGCUGAAGGUGUCGGGGUCCGGUCCCACCCUGAGGACGCUCUCCUCGGGGUCGGCGGGCGCUCCGGCUCCGAGAGGUGGGGGGGUCGAGGCCCAGACGGUGAGGGGGCGGGACGGUCACCCAGCAGGCCGGGUUCAGGUACUGCUUCAGAGAGGUCAAAGACAGACAGUGCAGCUCUCCUCUCCCCCGGUCUGCGGAGCAGGGAAAUGUGCUGCAGAGGACUCGGGAAGGCGUGGGGACGACUGACUGUGUCCUCUGUCCGGAUACUACAGGUCAAAGCAACAGCAGCUGUCCUGUUGGGUUUGAGCGAAGCAAUGGAACGCAGUGUGUCGAUGUGAAUGAGUGCCUCCAGCCGGGGCUGUGUGAGAACGGGAUCUGUGUGAACACCAGGGGGAGCUAUAGCUGUGUGUGUCGGGGGGGGUUCCUCCUCGACGCCUCACAUGGAAUCUGCAUCUCCAAGAGUGUGAUAUCCGAGGAGAAGGGUCAGUGCCAACGGGUCCUGGGUUCGGGUCUGGGUCCGUCCUCCUGCUCGCUGCCUAUCCUCAGGAACAUCACCAAGCAGAUCUGCUGCUGCAGCCGGGUGGGCAAAGCCUGGGGACCCGACUGCCAUAGGUGUCCCUACUUUGGUUCAGUGGCCUUUAAGGAGAUCUGUCCGGCCGGUCCUGGUUACCACUACUCCGCUUCAGCGCUGCAGUUCAACCAGAGAGUCACCGAGCAGCUGGGGAGCCGAGGAGCUCCACUGGUGACCCACGGCCAGCAGGAGAGACAGGGUAACCACGGUAACCAGGAGAGACAGGGCAACCACGGUAACCAGGAGAGCCAGGAGAGACACGGUAACCACGGUCCUGGUUCUGGGUCCAGUACCAGCGAAGCCUCCAGGUCUCAGCAGAAACCCUCUUCUCCUGGACAGACAGCUGCUUCAGGUGGAUCAGCUGGUUCCAGCAGUACCAACACCAGAACCAAUCUGCCUCAGCCCCGCCCGGUCGACUCUCCCUCCUCCAGGCCUGUGCAGCCCGGCAGAACCGGCACCACAGUCACCCAGGACAAAGCCCAGACCCAAGGCAGACCCGUGACCCAGCAGAACCGGCCCGACCCCGCCCGGUCGUUCACAACAGAACCACGACCACAGUCUCCGUCCAGUGGGAGUCAAGCCGGCGGCCGGUCCUCCUCCGUGUCCCGGCCCGACCAGCCAGAACCAGGAGUGGACUCUGUCAGCGCUCCGGUCCAGCCGCAGAGCCCCGAGCGUGGGUCGAGGCCCGGCGGAGACCUCCCUCCUCUGCAGAGCAGACCAGCUGUCAGACCGGCUGUCAGCCCGACGACCCCACAGCCCGGAGUCCAGACAGUGCGAGGUGUGUGUGAGAGCAGACCUGGUGUGUGUGGGCGUGGCCGCUGUGUGGAGCAGCCAGGUGGAAAACACACCUGUGUGUGUGAUAAAGGAUAUCAGCCCAACGCCCAGCGCACGUACUGCCAAGACGUGAAUGAGUGUGUGCAGUCUUCAGGUGUGUGUGCAGGGGGAGAGUGUGUGAACACCAUGGGAAGCUUCAGGUGUGUUUGUCCGCCCGGAUACAGGAGCAGCAGCCAGCAGACCAGUUGUCAAGACGUUGAUGAGUGUCUGCAGAAUCCCUGCAGCAACGGUCGCUGUGACAACACGCCGGGCAGCUUCAGGUGUGUCUGUCGCCUUGGUUACAGGCUCAGCGGCAACACCUGCACAGACGUAGAUGAGUGUGAGGAUGCUCUGCAGUGUCCCGGUCAGCAGUGCACCAACAGUCAGGGUUCAUACCGCUGCGUCUCCUGUCGGCCGGGAUUCGGACUGCUCAACGGGCUCUGCACAGACGUGGACGAGUGUCGCCAGACUCCCUGCUCCAACGGGCGCUGUGAAAACACACCUGGAAGCUACCACUGCGUCUGUCGCCAUGGUUACAAGCUGCAGAACAACACCUGCACAGAUGUAGAUGAGUGUGCAGAGCCCUCUCAGUGUCCUGGUCAGAUGUGUGUGAACUCUGUCGGGUCGUACCGCUGUAUGUCGUGUCGACCAGGAUACACACUCACCAACAGACAGUGUGCAGAUGUAAACGAGUGUGAGGACAGGGAGUCUUGUCCCGGUCAGCAGUGUGUGAACACUGACGGAUCCUACAGCUGUGUGGACUGUCAGCAGGGAUACCACAGUGUGAACGGACUGUGUGCAGAUGUGGAUGAGUGUGUGCAGGGCUCUUUCGGUGUCCUGGUCAGCAGUGUGUGAACACUGUGGGAUCGUAAUCAUCAAAUCAUCGCUGUGUGUCCUGUCAGCCUGGAUACAGCGGUCAGGUCACGGUUCCUGUCAAGAUGUUGACGAGUGUGCGAGCGACGGGACGUGCGAGGCAGUGCGUGUGUGCGUGAACACCGUUGGCUCGUUCAGGUGUGACUGUGGACCCGGGUAUCAAACCUCCGGCCUGGGGAGACAGUGCAGAGACAUCAAUGAGUGUUUGGAGGGAGAUUUCUGUUUCCCCAGAGGCGAGUGUGUGAACUCACCCGGAUCCUACACGUGUGUGUGUUCUCAGGGAUUCACACUCAGUGACAACAGAACCGCCUGCAUCGAUGUGGACGAGUGUGUGAAGUCGGGUAUGUGUGUGGACGGCCGCUGUGUGAACACUGAGGGCUCCUUCCAGUGUCAAUGUGAAACCGGCUUCACCACCAACCCAGAGAGGACCACCUGCCUCGACGUUGAUGAGUGCGUCCAGUCCGGCGGCGCCGUGUGCGGGUCACAGCGGUGUGAGAAUACGAUUGGCUCGUUCCGCUGCCUCACUUCCUGUGAGCCGGGUCUCCAGGUGACGCCGACCGGCGGCUGUGUGGACGUUAACGAGUGCUCCAAUGAGACGCUGUGUGGACGUCACGCCUUCUGUCAGAACCUCAUAGGAACCUACCAGUGUGUGUGUGACCAGGGCUUCACCUCCACCGCCGAUGGGAAGGCCUGUGAGGACGAGGACGAGUGUGUGUCUCUGCCCGGAGUGUGCGGUUCUGCUCGUUGUGAGAACGUGGAGGGUUCCUUCAUGUGUGAAUGUGACCGGCAGGGACACGAGUUCGACCCCAGCAGCCGGCAGUGCGUCAGCACGGACCAAAGGGUCCUUCCACCUCAGUAUGGUGGACUUAGCUCCGGUGCUGCCCCCCUCCCCGCCGCUCGUCCAGGUGAGCUGAGGGAGUGCUACUACAACCUGGCCGAGCCGGGAACCUGCAGCCUGCUGGCCACCAACACCACCCAGCAGGAGUGCUGCUGCACGGUGGGGGAGGGGUGGGGGCUGGGCUGCCAGUUCCACAGCUGCCCCCCCACUGACACAGCUGAGUUCCUGUCUCUGUGUCCCAGUGGGAGAGGAUACGUGACUACUGGACCCGGAGCCUUCAGCUACAGAGAUGUGGACGAGUGUAAGCGUUUCCAUCCAGAGGUGUGUAAGAAUGGAGUGUGUGUCAACAACAUCCCCGGAUACAACUGCUACUGCUCCAGUGGAUACGUGUACAACGGCACGCUGCUGGAGUGUGUCGAUCAUGAUGAGUGUGAGGAGGAGAGUUGUGUAGGAGGAGUCUGUGUGAACACGGUGGGUUCUUAUUACUGCAGCUGUCCUCCUCCUCUGGUGCUCGAUGACACGCAACGCAACUGUGUCAACUCCUCCCACCUCACUGUGGAUGAGAACCUGUCUCUCUGCUGGCAGCACGUCACAGCAGACCUGGUGUGUCAGAGUCCUCUGCUGGGAGCUCAGGUGACCUUCAUGGACUGCUGCUGUCUGUACGGGGAGGGCUGGGGCAUGGAGUGUGCCCUCUGCCCCCCCACCGACUCAGAUGACUAUGCCGCUCUGUGCAGUUCCUUCCCUCCUUCUCUGUUUCCGGAGAGUUUUCCAGACUCCGGACCAGAAACUGGAUCCAGAGCAGGACCAGGAGCAGGACGAGGACGAGGAGGAGGAGGAGGAGGAGGAGGCGUAGCUCCUCCGUACUUCCCUCCUUACAGUCCUGACUCCUUCGCUCCUGCGGUGGUUCCUGACUAUGAUGACUACUCUCCAGCAGGGGGCAGCAGGUCGGUGUUCAGAGGGAGGCCGCCCGUCUCCUUCGGCCCGCCGGACGGAGCCUAUCAGAGGCCAGAGUUCAGCACUGGUUUCUACUCUGAAGGAGACUUCUCCCCCCCCGACGGCUCCCCCCAGGGCGUUCCAGGGGCCCGACCUCCUCCCUCGCGUCCCGACGGCGCUCCUCUCAGCCUGGCCCCGCUGCCCGGAGCUCCAUACCAGGUGGAGCAGCAUCAGGAGGAGGAGGAGGCGUGGAGGCCUGGCCCCCCUUCCCCCUACAGUGAGAGGAGCAGAGGAGGAGGAGGAGGAGGAGGAGGAGGAGGAGCACCGAGGAGGGUCUAUGAGAGGCGUUAUGAGUCCUACGCCGGCCUGAGUGCAGCAGAGGAUUGUGGGAUACUCCACGGCUGUGAGAACGGCCGGUGUAUUCGCGUUGCCGAGGGUUACACCUGUGACUGUUACCAAGGAUACGAGCUGGACAUGACCUCCAUGACAUGUACAGACGUAAACGAGUGUGAGGACGGCGUCUCCGUGGAGUUCCCGUGUGUGAACGCUCGCUGUGUGAACACCGACGGCUCGUUCCGCUGCGUCUGCAGGAGAGGAUACGUCAUGUCCCGCAGACCCAACCACUGUGUGGCUGCGUAGACCGGACCGGACUAGACCAGACCAGACCAGACCGGACCCGUACAUACUGGUCCAGACGAUGGAGGCUGGACCACGGGAUGGCAGACUGGGCUAGACCACAUGACACUAAACUGGUUUUACUAUAAAACCAAAUUUGACAAACACUUAAAACUGGGCUAAAAUCCGCCACAUGCACUGAACUGGGAAAAGCUCGACUGGGCACCAGUUACACCAGCUCACUCUCCUAAACACCAACUCAACACACCCUGUUAGCUUCUGAUACAGAUCUCUGAUGUUGCUCUCUGUAGUUUAACGUGUUUUAUAGGUUUACAGGACAGAAUUACUGAGUUUUUCUCCAAAAGUAAAAUACUUCUUGGACCGGGACCAACCAAUAGUUUAAUAAAGUGACUGAACACAUGAACCUCUCGCUGAAAUAUGAAACCCUAGAAUGAAAGUUAUUGUGCACAUUUUUUUCUAUUGCUAAAAAGAUAAAACAUGUAUUUGUGGACACAUCUGAGGGACAGUUUUUAACACAUGGUGUUGGUUUUGUGCCGUCAGUACUAAUCAGUCUCUCUCCAUAUAUAAAUAUAUAUAGAUACAUAGAAACACCAGGUUCACUUUUUACACCAAUGUGUUCCAUUAAACAAAGAUUUAAAGGACUGCAGACCUAAAAAACAGAACACAUUGUCAACCUUUAGAAAUAUGAAUGAAUGUAAAGACAUGUGCUAGCAUUAGCAUGAUAGAGUUAUGCUAACGUGAAGAUGUUUAGCGUUAGCUUCCAAACGUGACUAGCGUCUUUGAUCUUCCUCAUUUAGAAACUACAGUUUGUUAUGAAGUGGAUUAUUAGUCACGAGCCGUCAGAUGAGUUCCUGAAUGUUAGUGAACUUAGAAAACAAUCCCCUGGAAAAUGUAACAAGCAAGCACAGGUUUAUGCUCUUACAGAGAAAUCUGAUUUUAGUUUUCUGUUAGUCUUUCCAACGGCUCGAAGUACUACAAUACCCAUGAUCCUCGGCAGCUAUUUCUAUGUAGAAGAAGCCAGUCAGAGAUGUGAAUUCAGAAUAACAUAAAUUGUUUCAUUUGUAAACAAAAGAAGAAGCCAUCAUUUCUGAAUUAAUAAUUUUUUUUACCCUUUAUUCUAAAUUACUUCGAGCUGCGUUUUCUUCAAACUCUCAUUGGACGUUUCUGUGCCUAAAUGCACCUUGGGAGUUGUAGUUGACUUCUCUUCAGCAGUUUUUAUGCCCACAGAUUUGCAGCUGUGACUAUUUUGUCAAACACAAUCUUUGCUCUGUUGUGCUGACGAGUUCCUCAUCAAUCCAAGACGUACAACACCAUGAGUUCAUUUUUAUUAGUUUUGUUUCAUUCACAAACUUAAUCAAUGAUCAAUGAGACAAACAUAUUCUGCUACCAGGGUUGCUUCUGUGUUUUCUGUGUGUAAAUACAUCAUUUAAACCCCAGUUUAAGUCGUUAAAACACCUCAAAAUAUCCGAAACAACAGCGAGGACGAUGUCGUUCCUCUUUCAACAACAAUGAAUUAAUUAAGAAUGUGUACAUUUAAACACCCUGAGAGAGUUUUAUAAUCAACACUGUGUGAGUUAUUAAUUGACAGCACGAUGAUUUAUCUUCUAUAAACCAAAUGCAGCAAACAGCGGCGAAUGUUUGGGAUGAUUUUCUAUAUUUUUCAUCUCAUGUGCAGGUUCAAACCAAUACACCCAGUACUUCAUGUCUCCAUUAAAACACAUCAAAGAGCCUCACUGGUGCUCAUUCAUCACAUCAACCCUCUGCAGUUUAUUCUGACUUAACCCCACAAACAAAUACUCACUAGAGCACCGAACAGGGAUUAAUCCGCCGCUGAAAAUAGUCCCUAACAAAGUCACAUUUCCUCCAGUUUGUUUGAUUAAAACAGUGGAUUACUAAUGAGAGUUGUUUUUUAUCUGCACAUGAGAUUUGUUAAUAAGAACAAAUAUAGAAUACGUUUACAUUUGAUUGAUUACCUGAUAACUUUUAUAAACACUAAAUGCAUUAAUUAAUCACUGACUUGUCACUACUUUUGUAUUUGUUGGCUCGUGCAGCCAGAACCUACAGCUUUCACUCCUGGAUGUUCUGCAUUCAGUCAUAUUGUGUGUAUAUAAUAAUUCACAUUGCUCCUCAAUACUCCUGUUAUAUUGUUACCUAAAUGAAAGCAGCUGUUUCAGCCUGUAAGAGUGUUUAUUGUGUUUGUAUCUUUAACUUCCUGAUGCCGUCAACAUGCUGAACAUCUGAAGUUUGAUUUAUAACAUGCACUGUAGCUGCCAGAGACCCGCCUCCUGUGUUCACAGGAUGUUUUGUACAUUGUUCCAGUCUCUGGUAUUUUUUUUCUAAAUGUUUUCAUUUUUAUGGUUGAUUCACUUUUGUAUCAUUGUUGUUUGUAUGACAAGAAAUGAAAAUAUAUUUGCACACACUUUUAUUGAAA